Pogona vitticeps (central bearded dragon) is the source of this 468-nucleotide non-coding RNA. NCBI's taxonomy places the organism in Eukaryota, Metazoa, Chordata, Lepidosauria, Squamata, Agamidae. The record is from RefSeq and is a predicted model, not a curated record.
AAGGGAGGAAAAUAAACUACAGCAGGAAUUCAGGCAAGAGUCAGUUCCUGCCUUUCCUGCAUCCUUCCAGACAGAAGAAGAGGGACUCUCUAGAUCCAAAGCCCUUCGGAGCAUGUCCUGAGAGCUUUUUUGGAAGAAACUUGCUCUUGGAGAUGUUUGGAAAGAGAAAGCCGAUGAAGAGGUGGCCUCACAGAGAUGACCCAACACGCGGGCUCCAAAUGCAGUUCUUUCUGAGAUGGGCUUUGAGACGCAAAGUGCUCGGUACAAUCAUCAUCUGUGUUGAGAAGCCAACCCCAGGAGGAGCGAUCUGGUGGAACCAAAGGGGAUUUGGAAUCAUGAAGAAGGAGGCCUCGAAUAUCGCCAAGCCCUUCCCACCAGAAGAACUAUGUGAUAUGCCAGGAACGUGGGGCACCCCACCAUCAGGAAUAAACAAUCCAACCUCCGAAGAGCUUGAAAUGGAAGAGAAGA